CAGCAGCCGCGGUAAUACAGAGGAUGCGAGCGUUGUCCGGAAUUACUGGGCGUAAAGAGCUCGUAGGUGGUCUGUCGCGUCAUUUGUGAAAGCCCCCGGCUCAACCGGGGAGGGUCAUUGGAAACUGGUUGACUUGAGUGCAGAAGAGGAGAGCGGAAUUCCAUGUGUAGCGGUGAAAUGCGUAGAUAUAUGGAGGAACACCGGUGGCGAAAGCGGCUCUCUGGCUUGUAACUGACGCUGAGGCUCGAGAGCGUGGGGAGCAAACAGGAUUAGAUACCCGCGUAGUCCCUGUCUCUUAUAC
RNAcentral lists this ribosomal RNA (301 nucleotides) under uncultured bacterium. RNAcentral's name for it is "partial 16S ribosomal RNA". It matches the Rfam family "Bacterial small subunit ribosomal RNA", at positions 509 to 807 of the family's 1533-position model. The record is from RNAcentral.